AAAAAUAAAAUAAAAUAAAAUAAAAUGAAAUUGAGAUAGAGAGAGGUUCAGGUCUUCCUCGUAAAACCCAAGAACAAAACCUCAACAACUCCUGCACCAGAAGACCCUUAUUUUCUAAGAAUGUGAUAAAGGCGUUCUAAGAAAUCCACCCCAAACCCAGAAGCUUUUGAAGCAUUCAACAAAGGAGUCAACCCCUAAGGCAUAAAGCUUUUCAAGCUUUAAUGGCGUCUUCUCAGGUUCAUGAGAUUUGUCAGUGAUGAAACCUGGGUUUUUAUGGAUUAAUGAGUUUUUUCCAAGAACUUGCAGCGAAGAAGUGAGAACCUGAAGUAUUAUGCUAAUCUCUCAUAUUGGUUUUUACCGUUGAGAUAAAAUGAAUACUGAAAUCACACUUUGGAUGGAACUGAGAUAGGUUUAAUGGGUUUUUAUAAGAGAAAUCGUAGUAAAGAUGUGGGUUUUAAGCGUCUACUUCCCUUGAUCCUUUGUGUGCUUUUGGGGGUUCUGGGAUUGAUUGUUUUCAUAAGGAGAGAUACAUUUUCAAAACUUUCGACAUGGAUAUCUGAUGAUAUAUAUCAAGUUUAUAUUCCAGAACGAAAAGAUGGUCAAAUUUUGAGUUUACCAAAACCCAAUUUACCAGCCCAAAGCAAGCAUUCUGAAUCACUGGAACUGAGGAAUAGCUUGCCUCCUAAGAACAUAGAUCUUUUCCCUAGCUUGCCAAACGAUCAUGUUAAAAUUGUUCUCUACGUUCACAAUAGGCCUCAGUAUCUCAAGGUAGUUAUAAAAAGCCUUUCGAAGGUUGUGGGUAUCAGUGAAACACUAUUGAUAGUCAGCCAUGAUGGGUACUUCGAAGAAAUGAAUAAAAUUGUUGAGAGUAUCAAGUUUUGUCAAGUGAAACAGAUUUUUGCACCCUAUUCACCCCACCUAUUCCCGAAUUCAUUCCCUGGCAUGUCUCUUAAUGACUGCCAAAAGAGGGAUGAUCCUUUAGAGAAGAGCUGUACAGGGAAUGCCGAUCAAUAUGGGAAUCAUAGAUCACCUAGGAUUGUAUCUCUGAAGCAUCACUGGUGGUGGAUGAUGAACACUGUGUGGGAUGGUUUAGAGGAGACCAAGCACCACUCUGGUCACAUUUUGUUCAUUGAAGAAGACCACUAUAUUUUACCUAAUGCAUAUAGAAAUAUCCAGAUUUUGAUUCAGUUGAAGGCUCAUAAGUGUCCGAAUUGCUAUGCUGCGAAUUUGGCUCCAUCUGAUGUGAAUUUGAAGGGCGAAGGUUGGGAGAGCUUGGUAGCUGAGAAGAUUGGCAAUGUGGGUUAUGCUUUUAAUAGAACUGUUUGGACCAAGAUUCAUUCUAGAGCUCAAGAGUUCUGUUUUUUUGAUGAUUAUAAUUGGGAUAUAACUAUGUGGGCUACUGUUUAUCCCUCUUUUGGCUCCCCAGUUCACACUUUAAGAGGCCCCAGAAGAAGUGCGGCUCAUUUUGGUAAGUGUGGAUUGCAUCAAGGUCAGGGGACAAAGAAUGUGUGUAUUGACAAUGGGUCAGUUGGUUUUGAUGUUGAGGAGCAAGACAAAUUUCCAAACAUAAAUGUGGAAUGGGGGGUACAUGAAAUUCAGAACCAAGGGGGCUAUCAAGCUGGAUUCAAAGGCUGGGGAGGUUGGGGUGAUGAGAGGGAUCGCCAGUUGUGCUUAGCAUUUGCUUCGAUGUAUCGUAACAUGGGUUCUUCUUCAAGUGACUAAGGAGUUGAAUCAUUGCCUAUCGAGGGUAUGCGUUUGGGUCCUGCUACAUUACCAGCAAAUAGCAGCUGAUAUAUGGUCCUCAAGAAAGUGCAUGCAUUCUGCGGUAUUCGGCUUGAAAUAGAUACAAUUGAGACAACAAAUAUAUUUCCACGAGAAAUUAAGUGUCAAGGGGAUGUGUUAUGUUCCUAAUGGUGAGCUCUUCCGUAAACCUCCCGCCCUUUUGAAGGAAUGGACGUUGUUGGCAUCCUUAAAUGACAUUUUCCAGGUCUCAAGGAGAUGCCCAGUGUGUGACACAUUUAAAAUAACAAAAAACAGAGGCAGCAUGUUGCAUAUCUCAAGGAUCUAUUCAAGAAAAUCGCCUCUCCUUCAUGGCAUUGCUGAUUCUUGUUUUUCUCCUCUGAUCACAUGUGGUGAGAUUCAUGUUCCAUCAUUAGAGCUUUAUACUAGUAGAAUACUCUUGGAUCCAGAAAGUACGAGUCUUUCUUUUAGUUGUAAGUUUAAGUUGCUCAGAAAAGAGCUUCUCAUUGUGACGUGCAAGUUGCAAUAUCAAUGGUGAUGCCACCUAUUCUAGAAGGACCACAGCAACCAUUAAACUUACCAACCACGGUAAGUUUCAGAGGACCUUAUUCUCCACUGAACCUUGGGCUUAGUCUCAAGAUUUUCGUUGGUGAUACUGAUCUCCAGUUUCAAAACCGAGUCUUCCUCCUGUAUUCCAAGAAUGUUUCCCACUUAAUGUCAAAGAAGUGAAGAAAACUGUGAUGCAUUUUAUACCUGAAAGUUCCUCAAUACUAUGAUAAUAAUAGCCUUAAAAAAUUGUGUUAUUUGUUGCAUUAGUUUCCAAAAGUGUGCAAGUGCAUAAAUCUUCAAAUUUUGAUGUCUCCAAGAAAAGAGCAGUCAACUAAUAGUCAGCCGCAUAGAACAACCACAGCUGUUGACGUCCGAUAGAAUAAACCAAAGGAACCUGCAAAAUUACUUUAGAUCCUAUUCUAGAAGUUUCAAUGCAAUAAAGUUUUGUUGAAACUGUAAGGUGUCUCUCGUUUCCGUUCCAUGAAAUCCUCCUGAGUGGACCCAUCAAUCAGCUAAGAAUUCCAUAAUCUCCUUCUCCUAAAGAUUCCAGUUGUGGCAGUAACCUUCUUUUUUUUCCUUUGUUUUUUUUGGGUAUUUCAAAUGUAGGAGUAGAAAUUGGGAUAUAAUGUUAGAUCAUCAACACCUAUAAUCAAUCAAGCCCAUGCCUGAUUCCUAAACAUUGUAAACAAGGACGAUGGCCAUACUUAACCUUGGCCAUACUUAGCCUUAAGGACUACCAUAUGAGAGUCCAGUUUCCUCGUCAAAUAUCUGAUUUCCCUACUUUAAGAGCUUUUUCACAUUCUUAAUCCUCCAAAUGCCAGACUUCCCUACCCCCUUUAGUCUGCAGUCAUUCCAUUCUAUAAUGCUAAAUUUGUGCGCCACACUGUUACCCCUCCGUAGGACAUUCCUCUUAAAUUAUUUUAAUCUUCUUUUCCAUCCCAUCAAGGACUUGGUUACUGAUGCUGUGAAGGAGAAAGAAAAAUAAAAUAAAUCUGAAAAUGAGAAAAUUGUUCGUGAGAGAUUGUACUAUCUCUCUGGGUCUACAAGGGAGUCUACCCAAAAAGAUCAAUGCGCAAGUCUUAAAAUCAAUGUCUUUUUUUCUUUGCUUUCUUUUUUUUACUUGUCUAACAAGGGCGUAUUUGUAAAAAACCCUAAACCACAACUAAAUCCUCGCCUUUUCUAUUUAAAAUUAAACUAUUUAAAAUUAAACUUCGAACUCUGCCCCUCUCUCUACAACUGAAAAAGACACAAAUACCCUUAAGUAAAUAAAAGAUCACAUGAUCUCGGUCUCCUAAAAGAAAAAGUAAACAAACCAGAGGAACCUUAUUGUAUCAGUAACACAGAUAAGGUACUCCUACAAGGUGGCCUUAAUUAGGGAAACCUUAGGAGCAAGAGUAGAUAUGGGAUUUCCAGGCCGCGAAGAUCCUCUCCCGUUCUCUAUGAUGUCACACAAUCUUCAACCAUGUUAAUCUUCACAUAUGGUGAGGCUGAAGUUGUUGUGGGCACCUUAUACCUAAAUCUUUUCAUUGCCUCCACAGAGUGGCACUCUUCUCCCUUUAUUCUUUACCUUUAAAGUCUGAUCAAGAUAUAUCCUAUUGUGAUCACAUCAUGGCAAAUGAAACACCAUCCUGAAAUUACCGGCAAGCAUCACAAGGUAGCUCCGACAAAGUGGAGCUGUGAGGUCAUUGGUGCCUUUAUUUCUUCCCUAAAAUUCUCUACAAGCUUGGUGCUAACCUGCUCAUCGAUCAGACGAUAUUGAUUUUUUUCAAAGAUGGGUUGAAUAUUGUUUGUGAGACAAUUGGGAGGUUCUAAAAUAUUGACCUACCUCCCUUGGGGUUUGAAAAUAUUUGGCUUCCUAAGAUGAGGUAUUCAGAAUAUUUGGAAUAUCUUAGGAAUAUUUAGAGACUAUUUGGUUUCCUAAGUUUUGGGAUAUAUAAGGAUAUACGGUUUCUUACAAUGAGAUAUGUAU
Amborella trichopoda is the source of this 4258-nucleotide RNA transcript. It is a transcript of the gene named beta-1,2-N-acetylglucosaminyltransferase II, with no coding region annotated. NCBI's taxonomy places the organism in Eukaryota, Viridiplantae, Streptophyta, Magnoliopsida, Amborellales, Amborellaceae. The record is from RefSeq and is a predicted model, not a curated record.